RNAcentral lists this ribosomal RNA (465 nucleotides) under uncultured bacterium. RNAcentral describes it as "partial 16S ribosomal RNA". It matches the Rfam family "Bacterial small subunit ribosomal RNA", at positions 28 to 507 of the family's 1533-position model. The record is from RNAcentral.
GACGAACGCUGGCGGCGUGCUUAACACAUGCAAGUCGAACGGAAAGGCCCUGCUUGCAGGGUACUCGAGUGGCGAACGGGUGAGUAACACGUGGGUGAUUUGCCCUGCACUUCGGGAUAAGCCUGGGCAACUGGGUCUAAUACCGGAUAGGAGCCAUUUUUAGUGUGAUGGUUGGAAAGUUUUUUCGGUGUAGGAUGAGCUCGCGGCCUAUCAGCUUGUUGGUGGGGUAAUGGCCUACCAAGGCGGCGACGUGUAGCCGGCCAGAGGGGGUGGACGGCGACAUUGAGACUGAGAGGCGGCCCAGGCGCCGACGGUAGGCAGCAGUGGGGAAUAUUGCACAAGGGGCGCAAGCCUGAUGCAGCGACGCCGCGGGGGGGAUGACGGCCUUCGUGUUGUAAACUCCUUUCGCUAGGGACGAAGCUUUUUGUGACGGUACCUAGAGAAGAAGCACCGGCUAACUACGUG